Long non-coding RNA from Sphaerodactylus townsendi, 389 nucleotides. RefSeq lists it as uncharacterized. Lineage: Eukaryota; Metazoa; Chordata; Lepidosauria; Squamata; Sphaerodactylidae. The transcript has 2 exons. The record is from RefSeq and is a predicted model, not a curated record.
AGGUGUUUACUGUUUCCAAACCCUUGAGGAACGUCUGAUGAGCCAUCCUGAACUAAGCAGCACAGUGGGAUUCACUCAGUGGCUCAUGGAGAACCACAUUCACCAUUACCAUCAACCCAUGUUUGCAGUUUUUAUAUUUAGGAACACAAAGCAUAUAUUUACAGCUAUGGAUUUGCUUGUCAUGGGGAGAGAGAAGGAAGCACAGCAGGCGAUGAAGAUACAACUACUACAAAUCUUAUUCGGUCACACCUCUAGCCAUCGAGAUUCCAACCAAGCACCGUCAAUAUGCUUGCAAGCACAUCUUUAAAACUAGAAAGAAAAAAGAAAGCUGCUUUUUUUAAAAAUAAAAAAAAACACGAGAUUCUCCAAAUGUUGGAUUUUGAACCUAA